Molecule: ribosomal RNA, 339 nt
Filed under: uncultured bacterium
Lineage: Bacteria
Description: bacterial SSU rRNA
Rfam family: Bacterial small subunit ribosomal RNA
Source: RNAcentral
GAUGAACGCUGGCGGUGUGCCUAACACAUGCAAGUCGAACGGACCUUUAUUUUUGAGAACUCCCUCCUUGGGGAUGUCUCAUAAAUAAUGGUUAGUGGCGGACGGGUGAGUAACACGUUGGUACUUGCCCCAAAGUGGGGAAUAACACGGCGAAAGUCGUGCUAAUACCGCAUAAUAUCGCAAGAUUAAAGCAGCAAUGCGCUUUGGGAGAGGCCUGCGUCUGAUUAGCAGUUUGGUAGUGUAAUGGACUACCAAGGCGACGAUCAGUAGCUGGUUCGAGAGGAUGACCAGCCACACUGGGACUGAGAUACGGCCCAGACUCCUACGGGAGGCAGCAGU